RNAcentral lists this long non-coding RNA (413 nucleotides) under Homo sapiens (human). RNAcentral's name for it is "non-protein coding lnc-SPATA31D1-4:4". Lineage: Eukaryota; Metazoa; Chordata; Mammalia; Primates; Hominidae. The record is from RNAcentral.
ACAGAUAUGGAAACUGAGCCCUCACACAUGGACUGAAUUCUGACAAGCAGAGGAUAAAGGCAGAACAACAUGACUGAAGGUAUGGAGGUGGGGUUGCUUAUAGCAUAGUCAUUUUUACGGUAAGAAAUCAAGCCAGAGUACAACAGAAAGUGAUUUGGGCAGAGACGUAAGUUACAGUCAACACUGUAGGACAGUGUGGUGGGCAGAAAUUGUAGAGAUCUGUGAACUGUAGGCCAUAACCCUGGACAUUAUCUCAAAAUAUAUUUCCGACCUUAGUGUCUUGAGCGUUUGUCAAAAAUAUUUAUUUCUGGAUCCCACGAUAUAUCUAAAUCAGAAAUUUUAUCUUGAUAGAAGUUGGUUUUCGGCAUUUUUCACAGGCCCUCCACUCCAGCGUCCUAGUGAUUCAGAUAUUC